CCUACGGGAGGCAGCAGUGGGGAAUUUUGGACAAUGGACGCAAGUCUGAUCCAGCAAUGCCGCGUGCAGGACGAAGGCCUUCGGGUUGUAAACUGCUUUUGUACGGAACGAAACGGUCUGCUUUAAUACAGUGGGCUAAUGACGGUACCGUAAGAAUAAGCACCGGCUAACUACGUGCCAGCAGCCGCGGUAAUACGUAGGGUGCGAGCGUUAAUCGGAAUUACUGGGCGUAAAGCGUGCGCAGGCGGUUAUAUAAGUCAGAUGUGAAAUCCCCGGGCUCAACCUGGGACCUGCAUUUGAGACUGUAUAGCUAGAGUACGGUAGAGGGGGAUGGAAUUCCGCGUGUAGCAGUGAAAUGCGUAGAUAUGCGGAGGAACACCGAUGGCGAAGGCAAUCCCCUGGACCUGUACUGACGCUCAUGCACGAAAGCGUGGGGAGCAAACAGGAUUAGAUACCCUGGUAGUCCACGCCCUAAACGAUGUCAACUGGUUGUUGGGUCUUCACUGACUCAGUACGAAGCUAACGCGUGAAGUUGACCGCCUGGGGGAGGUACGGCCGCGAGUAGUAACGUACGAAGUAGAGUUAGACGGCGUGAGACGUGACGACGGACGACGACGAGGGAGGAGG
Molecule: ribosomal RNA, 627 nt
Filed under: uncultured bacterium
Lineage: Bacteria
Description: bacterial SSU rRNA
Rfam family: Bacterial small subunit ribosomal RNA (bases 1-541)
Source: RNAcentral